UUCAGCAGUCCAAGAAUAUUAGUCAAUGCUCGCAAGAGUGAACUAGCUAACUGAAAUUAUAAUUAUCCGGUUUCCGGAAGAGUAUGUAAUAAGGUAAGGGGAUAAUAAUGAUCUGCCCCAUUACUAUUAGUGUUGUCCAAAGCUGGUGCCAGAAGACUCGGUAAGGCCAGAAACGCAWACGUUAGUCGCAAUGAACAGGCGUAAAGGGUGUGUAGGCUGCUUUUUAAAACCACUCUUUUUAGGUUAACUACUGUUUACUCUUACAUAGAGAUGCAGAUUAAAAAGAAGGGUGACUAGAAGCUAGAAUCUUAAAGAGGUUAAACCGUAUAAUACUUAGAGUAGGGAUUAAAUCUAUAGAUACUAAGGGGAAUACUUAAAGGUGUAAGCUAUUAUCCACUAAAGAUUGACGCUGAGACACGAAGGUGAGAAAAGGAAAUAGGAUUAGAUACCCAAACUACCUCUCACAGUCAACGAUGAAUGGUAAUUGUUAAUUUUUUAUAAAUUAGCAUUGAUGUUAACGCGAUAACCAUUCCGCCUUGCGAGUACGGUUGCAAAACUGAAACCAAAAAAAUUAGUCGGCCUCGGAGCAAACGAAGUGAAGCAUGUUAUUUAAUUC
This 616-nucleotide ribosomal RNA is filed under the name Clitopilus prunulus. RNAcentral describes it as "partial small subunit ribosomal RNA". It matches the Rfam family "Bacterial small subunit ribosomal RNA", at positions 347 to 952 of the family's 1533-position model. Lineage: Eukaryota; Fungi; Basidiomycota; Agaricomycetes; Agaricales; Entolomataceae. The record is from RNAcentral.